UACGUAGGGUGCAAGCGUUAAUCGGAAUUACUGGGCGUAAAGCGUGCGCAGGCGGUGAUGUAAGACAGUUGUGAAAUCCCCAGGCUCAACCUGGGAACUGCGUCCGAUACUGGCAGGCUUGAAUCCGGGAGAGGGAUGUGGAAUUCCAGGUGUAGCGGUGAAAUGCGUAGAUAUCUGGAGGAACACCGGUGGCGAAGGCGGCAUCCUGGACCGGUAUUGACGCUGAGGCGCGAAAGCUAGGGGAGCAAACGGG
RNAcentral lists this ribosomal RNA (253 nucleotides) under uncultured bacterium. RNAcentral describes it as "partial 16S ribosomal RNA". It matches the Rfam family "Bacterial small subunit ribosomal RNA", at positions 524 to 776 of the family's 1533-position model. The record is from RNAcentral.